GACGAACCGUGCGAACGUUAUUCGGAAUCACUGGGCUUAAAGGGCGCGUAGGCGGGCGGACAAGUCGGGGGUGAAAUCGUUCGGCCCAACCGGACAAGGGCCCCCGAUACUGGCCGUCUCGAGGGAGGUAGGGGUCGAUGGAACUUCCGGUGGAGCGGUGAAAUGCGUAGAGAUCAGGAAGAACAUCGGUGGCGAAGGCGCUCUGCUGGACCAUAACUGACACUCAGGGACGAAAGCUAGGGGAGCGAAUGGG
This 253-nucleotide ribosomal RNA is filed under the name uncultured bacterium. Its description in RNAcentral is "partial 16S ribosomal RNA". It matches the Rfam family "Bacterial small subunit ribosomal RNA", at positions 524 to 776 of the family's 1533-position model. The record is from RNAcentral.